AGAGUUUGAUCAUGGCUCAGGAUGAACGCUAGCUACAGGCUUAACACAUGCAAGUCGAGGGGAAACGACAUCGAAAGCUUGCUUUUGAUGGGCGUCGACCGGCGCACGGGUGAGUAACGCGUAUCCAACCUGCCCAUCACUUGGGGAUAACCUUGCGAAAGUAAGACUAAUACCCAAUGAUAUCUCUAGAAGGCAUCUGAAAGAGAUUAAAGAUUUAUCGGUGAUGGAUGGGGAUGCGUCUGAUUAGCUUGUUGGCGGGGUAACGGCCCACAAAGCAACGAUCAGUAGGGGUUCUGAGAGGAAGGUCCCCCANAUUGGAACUGAGACACGGUCCAAACUCCUACGGGCGGA
This 351-nucleotide ribosomal RNA is filed under the name uncultured bacterium. RNAcentral's name for it is "bacterial SSU rRNA". It matches the Rfam family "Bacterial small subunit ribosomal RNA", at positions 8 to 349 of the family's 1533-position model. The record is from RNAcentral.